RNAcentral lists this ribosomal RNA (253 nucleotides) under uncultured bacterium. RNAcentral's name for it is "partial 16S ribosomal RNA". It matches the Rfam family "Bacterial small subunit ribosomal RNA", at positions 524 to 776 of the family's 1533-position model. The record is from RNAcentral.
UACGAAGGGAGCUAGCGUUGUUCGGAAUUACUGGGCGUAAAGGGCGUGUAGGCGGUAUCAUAAGUCAGAUGUGAAAGCCCCAGGCUUAACCUGGGAGGUGCAUUUGAUACUGUGGAACUAGAGAUCGAGAGAGGAAAGUGGAAUUACGAGUGUAGAGGUGAAAUUCGUAGAUAUUCGUAAGAACACCAGUGGCGAAGGCGACUUUCUGGCUCGAUACUGACGCUAAGGCGCGAAAGCGUGGGGAGCAAACAGG